Molecule: unclassified non-coding RNA, 203 nt
Filed under: plant metagenome
Description: partial contains small subunit ribosomal RNA, internal transcribed spacer 1, and 5.8S ribosomal RNA
Source: RNAcentral
UUUCCGUAGGUGAACCUGCGGAAGGAUCAUUAUCGUAGGGCUUCGGCCCUGUCGAGAUAGAACCCUUGCCUUUCUGUGUACCUUUCGUUUCCUCGGCAGCCUCGGCUGCCAAUGGGGACCCCAAAAAACACUUUGCAGUACCUGUAACAGUCUGAACAAACAAACAAAAAUUAAAACUUUCAACAACGGAUCUCUUGGUUCUG